AUGUCCAGCAGUGUAUGGGCGCUGGCCCCUGAACAUCUGGUGCAACACCUUGUUGAUCGGCAAGAGGAGAGCCCAAAGGACUGGCUUUUUGUGUUACAUGAUAUACUGAGUAAGGGAGAUUUUGUUCGGCUUGUUGUCACGUUGUGGGCAAUUUGGGGAGCGAGAAGGAAAGCAAUCCACGAGGCCAUAUUCCAGUCACCAUUAUCUAUACAUGGUUUCAUCACGCGAUACCUGGCUGAGCUUCAAGUGUUGAAUACUGUAUCGUCGAAGCCGGCGGUAGCAAAGCCCGUUAGAUCGACUAUCUGGCAACUGCCGGUAGCGGACAGUGCAAAAGUAAAUGUGGAUGCGGCAGUACCUCAAAACAGAAGAUAUGGAGCCGUGGGUGCGAUAAGCAGGAGCGCGGAUGGAUCGUUCCUGGGAACCUCAGCCCUAGUGUUCAGACAUGUUUCAGAACCGGAGACUUUGGAAGCAUUGGCCAUUCGAGAAGCCCUUGCACUAUCAGAUGAUCUAUAUUUGCGGAGGAUCCAUGUGGCGUCUGACUGCAAAGUGGUGGUUGAGGACAUUACGAAGGAGAAUACAUCUCGGUAUGGAGCAAUCAUACAUGAAAUAAUAGAUCACUCGUCGUUUUUUGAUUUUUGCAAGUUUAGCCAUGAAUUUAGGAGCUCAAAUUAUGAGGCUCACAAUUUAGCGAAGCAUGCACUUUCUCUAGGGGUUGGCCGCCAUGUUUGGUUAGGCCAGCCCGGAGAUUUUCCGUUCGUCCCUGUAAACAUUGUGACGGUUUAA
This 783-nucleotide ribosomal RNA is filed under the name Triticum aestivum (bread wheat). Its description in RNAcentral is "partial small subunit ribosomal RNA". The record is from RNAcentral. Lineage: Eukaryota; Viridiplantae; Streptophyta; Magnoliopsida; Poales; Poaceae.